UUGGUCUUGCUGACUUCAAGAAUGAAGCCGCGGACCCUCGCACUGACGAGGAAGAAUAUUCCUGAGCAAGACACAGGGUUUUCACCCUGAUAGAUGGAAUCUGAGCUACCUUCAAACUUUUAAGGGGGGACUAUGGUGACCGCCAGGAGAGGAGUCCCAGUUGAGCCAUAUGGACCAGGGAUGGCGGACAGGAAAGUUUGUCAGUGGGGCUGAUGCACAGAUGGGGUGCACGAGCUCCUCACUGGGGAAAUUUUGUGGGGGAAGGAUGCCCUCAUAGCUCAAACGUUCAGCUCACUCAAGAGUGGGCCAGAGCUAACAGCUAUCACUGUACUCACAGCUCCCAGGCCUUACUGAUCCAAUGGUCUCUUCAGAGAUUUAUGGCUCAGCUCCCAGGAACAAAGAUGAUUUUAUGUAAAUAUUUAUGAAAUUCCUCCCUCUUUCCUUUCCCUCCUGCCUCUCUCUCUCUUCCCUCCCUCCCUCCCUUCCUUUCUUCUUUCCUUCCUUCACUCCUUUUUGCCUGCCUGCCUGCCUUUCUCUUUUUUUCUUUCUUUAGAAAGAGGGAUUUAUAAUUCUUUUCCAAGUAAUGUGGGGACCAUACCAUGAAGAAGACAUUCUUCCUUUUGGUCCUCUGACUCCGAAUGCAACCUCAUUCAUUCAUUCAUUCAUUCAUUUGGUCAGUAUUUGGAGUGCUGUUGAUAGGGGUGGGGUCAUAUAGCCCUCACAUCUAGGUAAGUAGCCCCAACACAGCAAUAGGUGAAAUUUAAAAAAACACAACCUGAUUAAAUUCCAAAGUGGAAAGUCUAUACCAGUGUUUUUUAAACUAAUUCCCCAUGAAAAUCACUCGGGAAACUUUUAAAAAAUACACAUUCCCAAGGUUCAGGCCAGAAUCAGAAUCUCUAAUUUUUAGCUUUAAAAAAAUGUUACAAACUUCGCAGGAAAUUUUUAUGUAGCUUGCCC
This 957-nucleotide long non-coding RNA is filed under the name Homo sapiens (human). Its description in RNAcentral is "novel transcript". The record is from RNAcentral. Lineage: Eukaryota; Metazoa; Chordata; Mammalia; Primates; Hominidae.